RNAcentral lists this ribosomal RNA (481 nucleotides) under uncultured bacterium. RNAcentral's name for it is "bacterial SSU rRNA". It matches the Rfam family "Bacterial small subunit ribosomal RNA", at positions 28 to 507 of the family's 1533-position model. The record is from RNAcentral.
GAUGAACGCUAGCGGCAGGCUUAAUACAUGCAAGUCGAACGGUAACAGGUCUUCGGACGCUGACGAGUGGCGCACGGGUGAGGAACACGUACACAAUCUACCUUAUACUGGAGAAUAGCCCCGGGAAACUGGGAUUAAUACUCCAUAGUCUUUAAUGAUCACAUGAGAAAUAAAGUAAAGCUUCGGCGGUAUAAGAUGAGUGUGCGUCCCAUUAGAUUGUUGGUGAGGUAACGGCUCACCAAGUCGACGAUGGGUAGCUGGCGUGAGAGCGCGACCAGCCACACUGGCACUGAGACACGGGCCAGACUCCUACGGGAGGCAGCAGUAGGGAAUAUUGGUCAAUGGACGAAAGUCUGAACCAGCCAUGCCGCGUGGAGGAUGACUGCCCUCUGGGUUGUAAACUCCUUUUAUAUGGGAAGAAACCUCUGGAUUCACUCCAGAGCUGACGGUAUCAUAUGAAUAAGCACCGGCUAACUCCGUG